GCGCUGAAAUUCGGCAGGGAAGAAGUUAUGGUGCCCAGCCUCUGUGUGCAAGACAGAGACACCGCGCAUCAUGGCUCUGAAAAUCAGCCAAGUGGCCGGCACGUCAAACCGACAGAGCAAUCAGAAUGCCCUGGAACCGGGGAUGGAGGGACCACAUUGUUUGAGCCCUCGGAUUUUGCUGCAUUGUCACCGCCCGGGAACGUAGGGGUAGCAGGAAGCGCACCUCCAGCCAAAAAUGGACCGGACGCAUUUUUUUCCCCCGGCGGCUCCCUCCCCGCCUGUCUGCAAGUCGCAAUACGUUCAGAUUUAUUUGGAGAAAACAAAAAACUACAACCCAAAGGAUGGGAUUUUACAUCUCAAGACAUCUCACAGAAUGUCUCUCUGGCUUCCUCUCCCUCUCAGAGACCCAAAUUGGAACUGAAACCCUGAGUACAGCAAAACUGCAUUUCCCAAGCUCCUCGUCUCUCAAUGGGUCACAUGACUUGUUCUAGCCAAUAGAACAAGGGUGGAAGUAAUGCAACCACUUUCAGCUGGCCCCUAAAGUCUCCUGUGAGAUCUUCCAAUCUUGCUCUCCUCUCUCUGCAUGGCUGGAAGUGCAUACUCUGAUAUCUGAAACCACAUGAUGAAGGAGCCAGGACGCCUAAGUUCACCACUUAGAGAAGAGACACCUUGAAGAGUUAUUCUGGAGAGCCGGCUGACCAAACUCAUUGGAUUGUAACAUAUAUAAGAAUAUAAACCUUUCAUUCUGAUAUGCCACAGGCACAUUAUGGAUUGUAUUACAAUGACUAGCAUUAGCUAUCCUGAUUAACAGACCCUGUGACAAGAUUCUUUAUUGCUAAAAGAAAAAAAAAAAGCAAUGGCUGAUACCAUUUAAAAUAAAACUUACAAUUAGGGCAAUUCAGUUUGAAAUGUGUUUAUGAAGUUAUUUCAUAGCACUAAUUACAGUUCUAACAAUAAGUAUUUCUGUAGGUGUAUUUUCAAUUCUCUACUAAGUAGUAAGCUCUGUGGGACUGGAAGUUGUACCUGUUUUGUUCUUCACUGCAGAGGUCAUACUCCUCAGAGUACAGGACCCAUGGUGGGAAAUAUUAGCUUCAUGAAUGAGUGAAUGAAUGACUACACACAAGGUUUGAUAAUUAGCAUCCAGAAUAACAAAGAUGAAUACAAUGAAUUAAUGAUUCAUAGUGAGGCUUAGUCAAGUAUACAAAAAGAACAAGAUGAAAUGCAACAUAAUUGUGAUAUUAUGAAGUAUAGACUUGGUCUUCACCCCUGUUUACUGUCAUACACACAAUUCCUAAGAUGCUUGGAAUCUCCAAAGUGCUGUCUCUUUGUACGCUAAUGUUCACUGAUAGCUUUAGGAUGGAGGUGGUCACCAGAAUGGCAAAGGCAUGAUUAGAGGGUUGGAACUUCUGGGCCCACCUCCCCAACUUCCAGGGAGAAGAGCGGGGCUGAAAGACAAACUGAUCAGCAAUGGCCUGUGGUUUGAUCAUAAUGAAGCCUCCAUAAAAACCCAAGAGGACAGAGUUUGGCAAGCUUUUAGAUAGCUGAACACGUGAAGGCUCCCAGAGGAUGGCAUGCCCAGUGAGGGCAUGGAUGCUUCACACCCCUUUCUUCAUACCUUACCAUACACAUCUCUUCAUCUAUAUUCUUUAUAGUAUCUUUUAUAAUAAACCAGUAAAUGUA
This 1680-nucleotide long non-coding RNA is filed under the name Pongo abelii (Sumatran orangutan). RNAcentral describes it as "lincRNA". The record is from RNAcentral. Lineage: Eukaryota; Metazoa; Chordata; Mammalia; Primates; Hominidae.